GGACGUGUGGCCCCGGAGACAGAUGGUGAGAGCUGCUCUCUGAGUUGAGACAGCUUGCCAGCUCUUGGUUCAGGUGCCACGCGAUGCCCUGAAGUCUGACUCUGCCCCUGUUUUGCCAUCUCCACGACAGGAGAAUGCAAUGAUCCAGCCUCCAGUUCAUCAACGUGAAAUGCUGAGAAUGCAGCCAUGUUAGGCUGCCAGAAUGGACUCCAUGUUGCCUUCAGCUGAGCUAAACUCUGAAACGAUGGUUUCAGCAGAAGUGUUACAAAAGAGGCCCCAGAGAGCUGCCUUGUCCUUUCCACAAUGUGAAGAUACAGCAAGAAGAUGCAGUUUCUAUGAACAAGGAAACAGGCCCUCACCAGAUAGCCAAUCUGCGGUGCUUUGAUCUUGCACUUCCCAGCCUCUAGGACUGUGAGAAAUAAAUUUCUUUUGUUUAUAUUCUACC
RNAcentral lists this long non-coding RNA (445 nucleotides) under Homo sapiens (human). RNAcentral's name for it is "HSALNT0022899". The record is from RNAcentral. Lineage: Eukaryota; Metazoa; Chordata; Mammalia; Primates; Hominidae.